Molecule: ribosomal RNA, 1796 nt
Filed under: Streptomyces sp. CAI-78
Lineage: Bacteria; Bacillati; Actinomycetota; Actinomycetes; Kitasatosporales; Streptomycetaceae
Description: partial 23S ribosomal RNA
Rfam family: Bacterial large subunit ribosomal RNA
Source: RNAcentral
ACAGUGGACGCGAGCAUCUGUGGCCAAGUUUUUAAGGGCGCACGGUGGAUGCCUUGGCACCAGGAACCGAUGAAGGACGUGGGAGGCCACGAUAGUCCCCGGGGAGUCGUCAACCAGGCUUUGAUCCGGGGGUUUCCGAAUGGGGAAACCCGGCAGUCGUCAUGGGCUGUCACCCGCUGCUGAACUCAUAGGCAGUGUGGAGGGAACGCGGGGAAGUGAAACAUCUCAGUACCCGCAGGAAGAGAAAACAACCGUGAUUCCGGGAGUAGUGGCGAGCGAAACUGGAUGAGGCCAAACCGUAUGUGUGUGAUACCCGGCAGGGGUUGCGCAUGCGGGGUUGUGGGAUCUCUCUUCUACGGUCUGCCGGCCGUGGGACGAGUCAGAAACCGUUGAUGUAGGCGAAGGACAUGCGAAAGGUCCGGCGUAGAGGGUAAGACCCCCGUAGUCGAAACAUCAGCGGCUCGUUUGAGAGACACCCAAGUAGCACGGGGCCCGAGAAAUCCCGUGUGAAUCUGGCGGGACCACCCGCUAAGCCUAAAUAUUCCCUGGUGACCGAUAGCGGAUAGUACCGUGAGGGAAUGGUGAAAAGUACCGCGGGAGCGGAGUGAAAUAGUACCUGAAACCGUGUGCCUACAAGCCGUGGGAGCGUCGCGCAUCGAGCUUGCUCGGUGCGUCGUGACUGCGUGCCUUUUGAAGAAUGAGCCUGCGAGUUAGCGGUGUGUAGCGAGGUUAACCCGUGUGGGGAAGCCGUAGCGAAAGCGAGUCCGAAGAGGGCGUUUGAGUUGCACGCUCUAGACCCGAAGCGGAGUGAUCUAGCCAUGGGCAGGUUGAAGCGGCUGUAAGAGGUCGUGGAGGACCGAACCCACCAGGGUUGAAAACCUGGGGGAUGACCUGUGGUUAGGGGUGAAAGGCCAAUCAAACUCCGUGAUAGCUGGUUCUCCCCGAAAUGCAUUUAGGUGCAGCGUCGUGUGUUUCUUGCCGGAGGUAGAGCACUGGAUAGGCGAUGGGCCCUACCGGGUUACUGACCUUAGCCAAACUCCGAAUGCCGGUAAGUGAGAGCGCGGCAGUGAGACUGUGGGGGAUAAGCUCCAUGGUCGAGAGGGAAACAGCCCAGAGCAUCGACUAAGGCCCCUAAGCGUACGCUAAGUGGGAAAGGAUGUGGAGUCGCAGAGACAACCAGGAGGUUGGCUUAGAAGCAGCCACCCUUGAAAGAGUGCGUAAUAGCUCACUGGUCUAGUGAUUCCGCGCCGACAAUGUAGCGGGGCUCAAGCGUACCGCCGAAGUCGUGUCAUUGCAGCAUGAGGGCCAACGCCCGCUGUGAUGGGUAGGGGAGCGUCGUGUGCCGGGUGAAGCAGCCGUGGAAGCGAGUUGUGGACGGUUCACGAGUGAGAAUGCAGGCAUGAGUAGCGAUUCACACGUGAGAAACGUGUGCGCCGAUUGACUAAGGGUUCCUGGGUCAAGCUGAUCUGCCCAGGGUAAGUCGGGACCUAAGGCGAGGCCGACAGGCGUAGUCGAUGGAUAACCGGUUGAUAUUCCGGUACCCGCUGUGAAGCGUCAAACAUUGAAUCCAGUGAUGCUAAGCCCGUGAAGCCGUUCCGGACCCUUCGGGGAAUGGAAAGUGGUGGAGCCGGUGGCCCGAGCUGGUAGUAGGUGAGUGAUGGGGUGACGCAGGAAGGUAGUCCAUCCCGGGCGGUGGUUGUCCCGGGGUAAGGGUGUAGGACGUCAGGUAGGUAAAUCCGCCUGGCAAUAGUCUGAGACCUGAUGCCGAGCCGAUUGUGGUGAAGUGGAUGAUCCUA